AGAACAUGCACCGCGUGUGCCCAGCUCCCCGGGAAGUGGGGUUGGCGCGUGUGGGUUUUUCUAAAGAGAAAUAUGGCCCGUAAUUUAAAAAUGCAUCCCCUCCUCAGGGGUAGCCAAAAUAACAAGUGGACUGCAAGGUAAACCUGUUUAAUGAAAAGCCGAGGGCCGUGGUGGGCAUCUCUUGCUAAAAGGGAGAGGAAAAUGUCAGUACUCUCUGCAGUUUGAGACCAUCACAGACAAUGCUGCUACAACCAGUCUUGUACAUAAACCUUGGGACACGUGUACCGGUUGCUCCAAGCAUAGGACUGAAAUACCAAAUCUCAGGUGUUGGGUUAACAAUUCUUUGUACUGAAUCCUCACUGUCAACAAACUGGUGUGGUUUCUGUCCUCUGAGUAGACACUGAUGGAUGAACCCCUUCUGCCGCCCUGAAGAGCUGUUUGAAUCUUCUCUGUGGAAAUCUUGCUAACCAUAUGUGCAGCUUGCAGCCAGCAAUUCCACCCCCAAGGAAGAUACACCAGAGAAACUCAUGCCUAUGUGCCUCCGGAGAUAUAUACAGGGAUGUUCAUUAUGGCCCAAAGAAGGAGCUACACACUAGUGCAUCAACAAGAGUGGAGUGACAGGAGACUGGUCACAAAGAUCCUUAAGUCUUUGUCUUGAUGAAGAGCACAUCUCAGAUUAAGCCAUGGUAUCUUAGACAGAGGGCA
RNAcentral lists this long non-coding RNA (705 nucleotides) under Equus caballus (horse). RNAcentral describes it as "lncRNA (ENSECAG00000047492.1)". Lineage: Eukaryota; Metazoa; Chordata; Mammalia; Perissodactyla; Equidae. The record is from RNAcentral.